This 547-nucleotide long non-coding RNA is filed under the name Ananas comosus (pineapple). Its description in RNAcentral is "long non-coding RNA (ACOM_LNC032919)". Lineage: Eukaryota; Viridiplantae; Streptophyta; Magnoliopsida; Poales; Bromeliaceae. The record is from RNAcentral.
UUUUUUUUUUAUUUUGUUAUUUUUUGUAUAGAGCUGUCGAUGAGCCAAACAAAAGUGAGCUGGGGUUGGAUUGUAUUCACUCGUUUAUUAAAUAACCUGAACAUGAGCUGCCUCGUUAAAAUAUCGAACUGAAAAAUUCAGCCCGUGUUAGCGUUGUUUAUUAAUGAACCGAACACGAGCUGACCUGUGAAUAACUAGAUAAAUUUCUACCUUACUACUACUGGGUGAAAAGUUGACAGAAAAAUUAGAAAAUUAAAAUCUUAGUUUAAUAAUAAAAUUUACAAAAUACAUACCUCUUUACAUUUGGAUUGGUCUAAGUUGGCUUAAAAUCCAUAUAUAUACACACACCACACACGAGCUAUAUCGAGCCGAACAUGAAUGAACUGAUCCCAGCUUGCAUGUGGCUUGUUACGAUUUUGAGCUAAAAAAUUCAGAUCGUAUUAAGCUCUUUUCGAUCUCGAGUUCAUUUCGAGCCGAAGGAUUACCUCGCAAACAACAAGCCGGAUCGUCCGCCCUAUUUUUAUACCCUCUGUCUCUGGAGGCCUUA